AGAAACUUUCCCUUUGUCUGUUGUUCUUCAGAGAAGGAGACAUGGAGCAGCAAUGCAAUGAGCAGGAAUGCUGUGUAAGGUUUGAACCAUCCUUUACUCAGGUGAGCAGCUCCAUUGGCUUCACUAGGACCACUCAGAUGAAUAAGGAUUGAAGAUGCAAGUCCAUACUCUGUACCUUGGUAUGGAGGGAAGACAGGGUUGGCCUCACAAAACCUGAAAGAAUCUUCCAUAACCCAAUUUAAAAUAUUAUAAUUGUAAUUUUUAUGAAUGCAUUCCUUAAGGACUAUAUUGUACAAGAUACUUAACAGAAGAACAAUUUUGAAAAUUAAAAAUA
Caretta caretta (loggerhead turtle) is the source of this 334-nucleotide long non-coding RNA. RefSeq lists it as uncharacterized. NCBI's taxonomy places the organism in Eukaryota, Metazoa, Chordata, Testudines, Cheloniidae. The record is from RefSeq and is a predicted model, not a curated record.